This 428-nucleotide ribosomal RNA is filed under the name uncultured bacterium. RNAcentral's name for it is "bacterial SSU rRNA". It matches the Rfam family "Bacterial small subunit ribosomal RNA", at positions 355 to 776 of the family's 1533-position model. The record is from RNAcentral.
UCGAGAAUUUUUCUCAAUGGGGGAAACCCUGAAGGAGCGACGCCGCGUGGGGGAUGAAUGGCUUCGGCCCGUAAACCCCUGUCAUUCGGGAUCAAACGUUAUUCAUAAAUAAUGGAUAGCCUGAUUGUACCGGAAGAGGAAGGGACGGCUAACUCUGUGCCAGCAGCCGCGGUAAUACAGAGGUCCCAAGCGUUGUUCGGAUUUACUGGGCGUAAAGGGUGCGUAGGCGGUGGGGUAAGUUUGAGGUGAAAGCUCCGGGCUCAACCCGGAAAAUGCCUUGAAUACUAUCCCGCUAGAGGGUUGGAGGGGAGACUGGAAUUCUCGGUGUAGCAGUGAAAUGCGUAGAUCUCGAGAGGAACACCAGUGGCGAAGGCGGGUCUCUGGACAACACCUGACGCUGAGGCACGAAAGCCAGGGGAGCAAACGGG